CGGGGUGUAGCGCAGCCUGGUAGCGUGCUUGCAUGGGGUGCAAGUGGUCGUGAGUUCGAAUCCCACCGUCCCGACCA
RNAcentral lists this transfer RNA (77 nucleotides) under Candidatus Kinetoplastidibacterium crithidiae TCC036E. RNAcentral's name for it is "tRNA-Pro (GGG) (tRNA-Pro-GGG-1-1)". It matches the Rfam family "tRNA". From Rfam's summary of the family: Transfer RNA (tRNA) molecules are approximately 80 nucleotides in length. Their secondary structure includes four short double-helical elements and three loops (D, anti-codon, and T loops). The record is from RNAcentral. Lineage: Bacteria; Pseudomonadati; Pseudomonadota; Betaproteobacteria. RNAcentral also lists the same sequence under 1 other name.